This 818-nucleotide ribosomal RNA is filed under the name uncultured Winogradskyella sp. RNAcentral describes it as "bacterial SSU rRNA". It matches the Rfam family "Bacterial small subunit ribosomal RNA", at positions 45 to 857 of the family's 1533-position model. Lineage: Bacteria; Pseudomonadati; Bacteroidota; Flavobacteriia; Flavobacteriales; Flavobacteriaceae. The record is from RNAcentral.
GGCCUAACACAUGCAAGUCGAACGGUAACAGAUAAGAGCUUGCUUUUAUGCUGACGAGUGGCGCACGGGUGAGUAACGCGUAUACAAUCUACCUUUUACAGGGGGAUAGCCUUUAGAAAUGAAGAUUAAUAUCCCAUAGUAAGUUAUCAUUGCAUGAUAGUAACUUUAAAGCUUCGGCGGUAAAAGAUGAGUAUGCGUUCUAUUAGCUAGAUGGUGUGGUAACGGCACACCAUGGCAACGAUAGAUAGGGGCCCUGAGAGGGGGAUCCCCCACACUGGUACUGAGACACGGACCAGACUCCUACGGGAGGCAGCAGUGAGGAAUAUUGGACAAUGGGCGGGAGCCUGAUCCAGCCAUGCCGCGUGCAGGAAGACUGCCCUAUGGGUUGUAAACUGCUUUUAUACGGGAAGAAACCUAGUCACGUGUGACUAGCUGACGGUACCGUAAGAAUAAGGAUCGGCUAACUCCGUGCCAGCAGCCGCGGUAAUACGGAGGAUCCAAGCGUUAUCCGGAAUCAUUGGGUUUAAAGGGUCCGUAGGUGGAUAAUUAAGUCAGGGGUGAAAGUCUGCAGCUCAACUGUAGAAUUGCCCUUGAUACUGGUUGUCUUGAAUUAUUGUGAAGUGGUUAGAAUAUGUAGUGUAGCGGUGAAAUGCAUAGAUAUUACAUAGAAUACCAAUUGCGAAGGCAGAUCACUAACAAUAUAUUGACACUGAUGGACGAAAGCGUGGGGAGCGAACAGGAUUAGAUACCCUGGUAGUCCACGCCGUAAACGAUGGAUACUAGCUGUUCGGUUUUCGGACUGAGUGGCUAAGCGAAAG